Molecule: ribosomal RNA, 431 nt
Filed under: uncultured bacterium
Lineage: Bacteria
Description: partial 16S ribosomal RNA
Rfam family: Bacterial small subunit ribosomal RNA
Source: RNAcentral
AACGAACGCUGGCGGCAGGCUUAACACAUGCAAGUCGAGCGCCUCGCAAGAGGAGCGGCAGACGGGUGAGUAACGCGUGGGAACGUACCCUUAUCUUCGGAAUAGCUCUGGGAAACUGGAAGUAAUACCGAAUGUGCCCUUAGGGGGAAAGAUUUAUCGGAUAAGGAUCGGCCCGCGUUGGAUUAGCUAGUUGGUGGGGUAAAGGCCUACCAAGGCGACGAUCCAUAGCUGGUCUGAUAGGAUGAUCAGCCACAUUGGGACUGAGACACGGCCCAAACUCCUACGGGAGGCAGCAGUGGGGAAUAUUGGACAAUGGGCGCAAGCCUGAUCCAGCCAUGCCGCGUGAGUGAUGAAGGCCUUAGGGUUGUAAAGCUCUUUCACCGGAGAAGAUAAUGACGGUAUCCGGAGAAGAAGCCCCGGCUAACUUCGUG